RNAcentral lists this ribosomal RNA (274 nucleotides) under uncultured bacterium. RNAcentral describes it as "partial 16S ribosomal RNA". It matches the Rfam family "Bacterial small subunit ribosomal RNA", at positions 523 to 796 of the family's 1533-position model. The record is from RNAcentral.
UUACGGAGGGUGCAAGCGUUGUUCGGAAUUAUUGGGCGUAAAGCGCGUGUAGGCGGCUUGGUAAGUCAGGUGUGAAAGCCCUUAGCUCAACUAAGGAAAGUCAUCUGAAACUGCCAGGCUUGAGUACGGGAGAGGAGAGUGGAAUUCCCGGUGUAGAGGUGAAAUUCGUAGAUAUCGGGAGGAACACCCGUGGCGAAGGCGACUCUCUGGACCGAUACUGACGCUGAGACGCGAAAGCGUGGGGAGCAAACAGGAUUAGAAACCCUAGUAGUCC